CAGUCGCCGCGGGAAUACGUAGGGGGCAAGCGUUAUUCGGAAUUACUGGGUGUAAAGGGAGCGUAGACGGUUAAACAAGUCUGAAGUGAAAUGCCGGGGCUCAACCCCGGAGCUGCUUUGGGAACUGUAGAACUGGAGUGUCGGAGGGGUAAGCGGAAUUCCCGGUGUAGCGGUGAAAUGCGUAGAUAUUGGGAGGAACACCGGCGGCGAAGGCGGCUUACUGGACGACAACUGACGUUGAGGCUCGAAGGCGUGGGUAGCAAACAGGAUUAGAUACCCCCGUAGUCCCUGUCUCUUAUAC
RNAcentral lists this ribosomal RNA (301 nucleotides) under uncultured bacterium. RNAcentral describes it as "partial 16S ribosomal RNA". It matches the Rfam family "Bacterial small subunit ribosomal RNA", at positions 509 to 807 of the family's 1533-position model. The record is from RNAcentral.